Neodiprion virginianus is the source of this 408-nucleotide long non-coding RNA. RefSeq lists it as uncharacterized. The transcript is spliced from 2 exons. The record is from RefSeq and is a predicted model, not a curated record. Lineage: Eukaryota; Metazoa; Arthropoda; Insecta; Hymenoptera; Diprionidae.
AUUCGAUUUGAUGAUUCAAACGUAUGUAUCAGUCGAAACAACAACAAAAUUGUUUCCAAACAAAUAGUCCAAUGACUCUAACUACAAUCACGAAUAGACUAAUAAAUUUAGAUGACUUUGAAUGUUUAGUUGGUCGAAAAAAAACCACAAAAGUCCAACGUGUAAAGCAGCUGGGAAAACAUAAAGGUAAUGAAAUCCAAAUUUUCCGUAUGUUGGACCAAUUUUGUGAACGAAAUAUUUAUAUCGAAUAAAUAUUUUGUUGAUUGGAUGCAUUUCAUUCGUUAAAUUAACUGUUUCAUCGGCUAUUUCACUGCCAGUCAAUUAUUGAAAUCCUUGCAUUUUUGUGCAAAAUCUUUUUAACGUCACUGGUCAAUAGCUUCGUAUUACUAAGAUAAAUAUAUCUCGUCA